GGAGGAUUAGCUCAGCUGGUUAGAGUGCCUGCAUCACACGCAGGAAGUCUGGGGUUCGAGUCCCUAAUUCUCCACCA
RNAcentral lists this transfer RNA (77 nucleotides) under Gemmiger formicilis. RNAcentral describes it as "tRNA-Val". It matches the Rfam family "tRNA". Rfam says of the family: Transfer RNA (tRNA) molecules are approximately 80 nucleotides in length. Their secondary structure includes four short double-helical elements and three loops (D, anti-codon, and T loops). Lineage: Bacteria; Bacillati; Bacillota; Clostridia; Eubacteriales; Oscillospiraceae. The record is from RNAcentral. RNAcentral also lists the same sequence under 22 other names.